This 655-nucleotide long non-coding RNA is filed under the name Homo sapiens (human). RNAcentral describes it as "HSALNT0003657". Lineage: Eukaryota; Metazoa; Chordata; Mammalia; Primates; Hominidae. The record is from RNAcentral.
GCCUCACUCUGUUGCCCAGGCUGGAGCGCAGUGGCGCAAACUCAGCUCACUGAAACCUCCGCCUUCCAAGUUCAAGCAAUUCUCAUGCCUCAGCCUCCCGAGUAGGAUUACAGCUUGGAGAAUUUUAGAAACAGCCAAUGUGCAACUCCAACAGGAAGAAACUGCUAAGAGGUCGGCAUGGGGAAAAAAGAUGUCCCCAGGGUGGGGCCACAGCCAAGAACAGAAAAUCAGAUAUAAGAUCAAACCUUUCCCAUCCCUCUCUAUCACCACCGCCACCACCCAAAACAUUGGUUAAGGUUAUCUCCUCUGGAAAUUGGGGGCCUGCCUGAGUUGAGAACCUCCUGAAGUCAACAGUCAAGAAACCAAUAUGGAUAUAACUAUAACUGUGUAUUAGGGAAAAAGAUCCCAGAGAUAUCCUCCGUGCUUAUUCCUGUAUCUCAGUCCAAUCAGGUCCUUUCACAACCCUCGUGUUUUUGCAUAUGCCCUUCCUUUUACCUAGAAUGUUCCUCCUCUGCUUCUUAUAUGGAAAAUCUCAUUCUUCAGGACCCAGCUGAAAUAUGAUGCCUUUCUCAAGUACUCCAGUGAGUUACCUACUUCUUCGCCUCCAUAAUACUUUAUCUGAGCUUUAAAAAAAAAAAUCUUGCUGGGCGCAGUG